Molecule: long non-coding RNA, 991 nt
Filed under: Trifolium pratense (red clover)
Lineage: Eukaryota; Viridiplantae; Streptophyta; Magnoliopsida; Fabales; Fabaceae
Description: long non-coding RNA (TPRA_LNC006010)
Source: RNAcentral
UGACUCGUGUAAUCUUAAAUAUAUUGUAAAAGUCAUACACAUACUCAUUGAUGCCUCUAAUAGAUUCCUGAGUAUGUACAGACAAUACAUUAUAUCUCAAAAUUAGUGCAUAUAUCUUAUUGUCUAAAAUAAUUAAAGCAAAAGCAACCAUGUAAGUUCAUAGCUGUCCAAUAAUUAUAAAAAAUGAUAAAUCAAACACACGCACACCUGCUUUGGCUGGCCAUUUUUACCAGCAAUGGUUGUGACUGACAAUUAUAUAUCCGGUUUCGGUCCCAUCUCCAUCUACCAAGCCAAUGACUUCCAUUUUCUGCAUUUAGAUUUAGAUCAGCAAUUUUUUACAUUAUUAGACUGCAUAUUCAAAAAACCAGAUGCUUAUUCAAUAAGAAAAAAUGAAAGAAAAAAAAUGUGUUAACCUUAUGAUCAUUGCCAUUGCUAGUGAUAUGCCACAGUGGCUGUGUGUUAUAGUGAAGAAAGGGAGGACCUAGUGAUAACCUUUGUUCUGUGUGAAUGCUUAAGUGACCCAAAAUCCUUAGGCCUGAAGGUAAUUGGAAUAUCAAUGUAACUAAUCCCACUUUUUUCAAUUUUCACAGACUUUGCAAGAUCAGCACCUCCGAUUCUAACCUCACCAAAGAAAUGUUGGUCGUUGUUCGCCGUCUGUAUAUAGAAUAGGAAUAAAUUUGUUAUACAUAAUUCAUUAACAGAAAGGAAUAACAAAAAUUGAAAUAUCGGAUUAUCAAAAUUUAUAUCAGAAAACCAAGAACCAUAGUAGCCAUGAGAGAAAAUGGAGAAAAUACAUAAUUUUCGCAUAUAGAGUAAACAAAAUAUGCACCAACUGAAUUAUUAUUUUAGUCCAACAAAUAUGAUCACUCAACUCACUCGAAAUCGUGACCGUGAUUCCUGACGGAAGAAUAAUAAGAACACAACUUAAAAUUGUAGAAGAAUCGCGCCCUCUGAGUGUUGCAUUCUUUUAGUAAUACCCAAAAAGUUUGGC